AGAAUAAAAAAUCGAAGCGUCGCUCUUUUUUUUAAGGGUGAUCGCGUCGGAAUUGAGCCGUCUUUCAAAUGUUAAUUCAUGUCAAAGUGGCUUAAAAUUCAUCCACCCGGUACGAUUAAAGCGUAUUUAAGAUCAAUUUUGUUCAAGAACGCGCGAUGAUGUACCAUCUCAUGUAGUACGUUUGACCUGGGUCAUCAGGCUCAUUCGUAUACGAUACUCAAAC
Molecule: unclassified non-coding RNA, 223 nt
Filed under: Funneliformis mosseae
Lineage: Eukaryota; Fungi; Glomeromycota; Glomeromycetes; Glomerales; Glomeraceae
Description: partial internal transcribed spacer 2
Source: RNAcentral